RNAcentral lists this transfer RNA (71 nucleotides) under Camelus bactrianus (Bactrian camel). It matches the Rfam family "tRNA". Rfam says of the family: Transfer RNA (tRNA) molecules are approximately 80 nucleotides in length. Their secondary structure includes four short double-helical elements and three loops (D, anti-codon, and T loops). The record is from Rfam by way of RNAcentral. Lineage: Eukaryota; Metazoa; Chordata; Mammalia; Artiodactyla; Camelidae. RNAcentral also lists the same sequence under 2 other names.
GAGUGUAUAGCUCAGUGGCAGAGCGCAUGCCUGGCAUGCACGAGGUCCUGGGUUCAAUCCCCAGUCCCUCU